RNAcentral lists this long non-coding RNA (230 nucleotides) under Capsicum annuum. Its description in RNAcentral is "long non-coding RNA (CANN_LNC004686)". Lineage: Eukaryota; Viridiplantae; Streptophyta; Magnoliopsida; Solanales; Solanaceae. The record is from RNAcentral.
GCAGGAGAUCUCUGAAUCUUUUAAUAAUAGAAAUGAUGGACUGAGUUUGAGAUCAAGCCUAUCUAACGGGUGAUCUAUGGAUUUAUUAGUACUAAUACUAUAUAACUUUAUGUGAGACCAGGCCUUUCAAGCGGGUGGUCUAUGAAUCUGUGGAACUAUCUAUCUUCCCUACUGAGCUGAAUGACCGUAUCUGACAGUAUUGAUUUCUGAGUUCUACUCUAAAGACUGAU